UACGUAGGGUGCAAGCGUUGUCCGGAAUUAUUGGGCGUAAAGAGCUCGUAGGCGGUUUUGUCGCGUCUGCUGUGAAAACUCGGGGCUUAACCCCGGGCCUGCAGUGGGUACGGGCAGACUAGAGUGCGGUAGGGGAGACUGGAAUUCCUGGUGUAGCGGUGAAAUGCGCAGAUAUCAGGAGGAACACCGGUGGCGAAGGCGGGUCUCUGGGCCGUAACUGACGCUGAGGAGCGAAAGCAUGGGGAGCGAACAGG
Molecule: ribosomal RNA, 254 nt
Filed under: uncultured bacterium
Lineage: Bacteria
Description: partial 16S ribosomal RNA
Rfam family: Bacterial small subunit ribosomal RNA
Source: RNAcentral